CACUGCCGAGAAAAGCCUCUAGAUAGAAAAUAGGUGCCCGUACCGCAAACCGACACAGGUAGUCAAGAUGAGAAUUCUAAGGUGAGCGAGCGAACUCUCGUUAAGGAACUCGGCAAAAUGACCCCGUAACUUCGGGAGAAGGGGUGCUCUUUAGGGUUAACGCCCAGAAGAGCCGCAGUGAAUAGGCCCAAGCGACUGUUUAUCAAAAACACAGGUCUCUGCUAAACCGUAAGGUGAUGUAUAGGGGCUGACGCCUGCCCGGUGCUGGAAGGUUAAGAGGAGUGGUUAGCUUCUGCGAAGCUACGAAUCGAAGCCCCAGUAAACGGCGGCCGUAACUAUAACGGUCCUAAGGUAGCGAAAUUCCUUGUCGGGUAAGUUCCGACCCGCACGAAAGGCGUAACGAUUUGGGCACUGUCUCAACGAGAGACUCGGUGAAAUCAUAGUACCUGUGAAGAUGCAGGUUACCCGCGACAGGACGGAAAGACCCCGUGGAGCUUUACUGUAGCCUGAUAUUGAAAUUCGGCACAGCUUGUACAGGAUAGGUAGGAGCCUUUGAAACGUGAGCGCUAGCUUACGUGGAGGCGCUGGUGGGAUACUACCCUAGCUGUGUUGGCUUUCUAACCCGCACCACUUAUCGUGGUGGGAGACAGUGUCAGGCGGGCAGUUUGACUGGGGCGGUCGCCUCCUAAAAGGUAACGGAGGCGCUCAAAGGUUCCCUCAGAAUGGUUGGAAAUCAUUCAUAGAGUGUAAAGGCAUAAGGGAGCUUGACUGCGAGACCUACAAGUCGAGCAGGGUCGAAAGACGGACUUAGUGAUCCGGUGGUUCCGCAUGGAAGGGCCAUCGCUCAACGGAUAAAAGCUACCCCGGGGAUAACAGGCUUAUCUCCCCCAAGAGUUCACAUCGACGGGGAGGUUUGGCACCUCGAUGUCGGCUCAUCGCAUCCUGGGGCUGUAGUCGGUCCCAAGGGUUGGGCU
This 974-nucleotide ribosomal RNA is filed under the name Staphylococcus aureus. RNAcentral describes it as "partial 23S ribosomal RNA". It matches the Rfam family "Bacterial large subunit ribosomal RNA", at positions 1603 to 2578 of the family's 2925-position model. The record is from RNAcentral. Lineage: Bacteria; Bacillati; Bacillota; Bacilli; Caryophanales; Staphylococcaceae.